GGAAUCAUUAGCUCAGUCAGUAGAGCGUGGCGCUAACAACGCCAAGGUCAUGGGUUCGAUUCCCGUUCGGUCCC
This is a non-coding RNA of Apaloderma vittatum (bar-tailed trogon), 74 nucleotides long. Lineage: Eukaryota; Metazoa; Chordata; Aves; Trogoniformes; Trogonidae. The record is from Rfam.